RNAcentral lists this ribosomal RNA (301 nucleotides) under uncultured bacterium. RNAcentral's name for it is "partial 16S ribosomal RNA". It matches the Rfam family "Bacterial small subunit ribosomal RNA", at positions 509 to 807 of the family's 1533-position model. The record is from RNAcentral.
CAGCCGCCGCGGGAAUACGAAGGGUGCAAGCGUUAAUCGGAAUUACUGGGCGUAAAGCGUGCGUAGGCGGUUUGUUAAGUCUGUUGUGAAAUCCCCGGGCUCAACCUGGGAAUGGCAAUGGAUACUGGCAAGCUAGAGUGUGUCAGAGGAUGGUGGAAUUCCCGGUGUAGCGGUGAAAUGCGUAGAGAUCGGGAGGGACAUCAGUGGCGAAGGCGGCCAUCUGGGACAACACUGACGCUGAGGCACGAAAGCGUGGGGAGCAAACAGGAUUAGAUACCCGCGUAGUCCCUGUCUCUUAUAC